Molecule: ribosomal RNA, 193 nt
Filed under: uncultured bacterium
Lineage: Bacteria
Description: partial 16S ribosomal RNA
Rfam family: Bacterial small subunit ribosomal RNA
Source: RNAcentral
CCUAGGGGAGGCAGCAGUGGGGAAUAUUGCACAAUGGGCGCAAGCCUGAUGCAGCCAUGCCGCGUGUAUGAAGAAGGCCUUCGGGUUGUAAAGUACUUUCAGCGGGGAGGAAGGCGGUGAGGUUAAUAACCUCACCGAUUGACGUUACCCGCAGAAGAAGCACCGGCUGACUCCGUGCCAGCAGCCGCGGUAA